GACUUAUUUGUGCGGGGUGGCGCUGCUCUCAAAGCGGACACAUCCCCGAAAGAACCGCCGUCCGAAACCUUCAGGACUUGUUUAAAAAAUAGAACCCCUCGCGUGAGGAAAAGAUGCUUCUUCGUCUUCGUCUUCUUCUUGUGCUCCGGCGGCAGCGCAGCGAGACGAGAACACGCACGGAAGGCAGGCUGCUCACCAGUGGAAGGUGUUCCACGCACACGCGAGAGGAGAGGAGAGGUGGAGAAAGGGGGCCCCUGUUCGCGUCGCGCACGCUGGAUGGGAACAUGCAAAACUAAGCCCUCUUUCCCCGAGGACUGCACUCUUUCCCGGGAGCCAAAACUCUAAACCCACGGGAGGGGCGACGUCACCGGAUGACGCGGCGGCACGGGGCGGGGCGUUGACCAUACAUGGAGGCGUGACGCGUUAGCCCCGCCCACCCAGCCACUCUGUUUCCGAAGGAGAGGAGCAUGGCGAGAGAAGCGAGCGUCUCUCUCUCCGCUUUUAUUCCUCCACUUUUGCCUCUUCGAUGUGCCCAUAAUCUGAUUAUCAAAUUAUGCAACUUGGAGACAAAUCCUCUUACAGAUCAGAUAUACUAAGAGAGAGAGAGAGAGAGCAGCCGUCAGGAGCCAUCUGGACGUGGAGAGACAGACUGGGAGAAAGAGGGGAGUCAGCUGAGCCCUGAAUCCGCCUGAUGAGGGCUCUUUUUUUUUUUUUUUUUUUUUGCUGCAUGCGGCGGUCCUGCACGCAGAGAAAGUAGAAGAUAACUUGCAAAAAAGUGUUAAAUAUGUCAUAAGCAUGGAUUUUUACUUUGCAGUUAAUUUCCCUGAUGCAUUGGUGGGAAGUGUGACGAUAACCAUAGACUUAGACGAACGUUAUUGAUCCACAAGGGAAAUUGUUAUUUUUAUUACAUUUUUGUAGGCUUAGAUGAUCAACACAUGUAGGCAUUAUUGUACAAAAUAAUAAUUAGAAAGCAGACAUUGGUUUAAAUAAGAUUUACUACUAAAGGUUUUAUAUAAUUGCGCGUUAAUUAGUAGAAAUAGCGAGGAAAUAAAUUUGCUGGUGGCUUUUCUUGCAAA
Molecule: long non-coding RNA, 1076 nt
Organism: Nerophis ophidion (straightnose pipefish)
Lineage: Eukaryota; Metazoa; Chordata; Actinopteri; Syngnathiformes; Syngnathidae
Exons: 3
Source: RefSeq, a predicted model, not a curated record